RNAcentral lists this ribosomal RNA (462 nucleotides) under uncultured bacterium. RNAcentral's name for it is "bacterial SSU rRNA". It matches the Rfam family "Bacterial small subunit ribosomal RNA", at positions 917 to 1382 of the family's 1533-position model. The record is from RNAcentral.
GGGCCCGCACAAGCGGCGGAGCAUGCGGAUUAAUUCGAUGCAACGCGAAGAACCUUACCAAGGCUUGACAUACGCCGGGAUCAUGCAGAGAUGUGUGGGUCUUUGGACUGGUGUACAGGUGGUGCAUGGUUGUCGUCAGCUCGUGUCGUGAGAUGUUGGGUUAAGUCCCGCAACGAGCGCAACCCUUGUCUCGUGUUGCCAGCAUUUGGUUGGGGACUCACGGGAGACUGCCGGGGUUAACUCGGAGGAAGGUGGGGAUGACGUCAAAUCAUCAUGCCCCUUAUGUCUUGGGCUUCACGCAUGCUACAAUGGCCGGUACAGAGGGUUGCGAUACUGUGAGGUGGAGCGAAUCCUUUAAAGCUGGUCUCAGUUCGGAUCGGGGUCUGCAACUCGGCCCCGUGAAGUUGGAGUCGCUAGUAAUCGCGGAUCAGCAACGCCGCGGUGAAUACGUUCUCGGGCCUU